UUAUGGUAUGAUAUAUAGAUGCCAAUGCGGUGCUCGGUACGCUUACCGUUAGCUUGAUCCACCUAUCCGCCCGGAAUCCUCUUCACCCUGUGAUGAGCUAUUCUCUCCGAAAACGUAUUCCAUGUCGGCUCUAAGCAUCUGACCACCGCGCCAUCGACCUGUAGAGACCCACGCAACAUCGUUUUCGUACCUGUUCAAAAAGGGACUUCCCUUAUGCCGUUAGCAACCGUGAUGCAACACUUACCAGAUACGAAUCUUGUUUUUGGCAGAAAGGCGCUACACAGGCUGAAGCUGCAGCGAUGACGACGGUGUCGAAUGGGGCUGCCGCCCACUUCAAUGAAGACCAUACAACACGUUCCUAAGACGGAGGCACAUUUUUUGUGUCAGCUGCACCCGUCGCAAGGAGUCACUCAGGGUGGGGGAAGUGUUUGGAAUCCAGAAGGACGCUAUGUAACUGAUCCUCAGUCCAGAGGAGAGACCCCGACUGCGCUGAUCCGGCAUCUACUAACUCCGCUCACUCUGUUCCUAUUAAACGAUACAGUCUCGUGCGGUGCUAAUAAAUAAAUAAAUGACUUGAUACGGGCAUUUCAUACUCGUCUCGGUAAGGAUGGCUUCACGUGUUUCGUAAGGCAAAUACUUGUUGCGAAAACACACAUUUUUUAUACUGCGAGAUGGCAGCAUUUUUUACUCAUUUCACGGCUAAAAGAUAAUAUAUUAGAGUAUCACUGAUACAAAAUGUCUCUUCUUUAAUUCCUUCAAUACUAUCUAAUAAGAACA
RNAcentral lists this long non-coding RNA (777 nucleotides) under Varroa destructor (honeybee mite). Its description in RNAcentral is "uncharacterized LOC111245752, transcript variant X1". The record is from RNAcentral. Lineage: Eukaryota; Metazoa; Arthropoda; Arachnida; Mesostigmata; Varroidae.